CAGGCUUAACACAUGCAAGUCGAGGGGCAGCAUUUUAGUUUGCUUGCAAACUGAAGAUGGCGACCGGCGCACGGGUGAGUAACACGUAUCCAACCUGCCGAUAACUCCGGGAUAGCCUUUCGAAAGAAAGAUUAAUACCGGAUAGCAUACGAAUAUCGCAUGAUAUUUUUAUUAAAGAAUUUCGGUUAUCGAUGGGGAUGCGUUCCAUUAGUUUGUUGGCGGGGUAACGGCCCACCAAGACUACGAUGGAUAGGGGUUCUGAGAGGAAGGUCCCCCACAUUGGAACUGAGACACGGUCCAAACUCCUACGGGAGGCAGCAGUGAGGAAUAUUGGUCAAUGGGCGCGAGCCUGAACCAGCCAAGUAGCGUGAAGGAUGAAGGCUCUAUGGGUCGUAAACUUCUUUUAUAUGGGAAUAAAGUUUUCCACGUGUGGAAUUUUGUAUGUACCAUAUGAAUAAGGAUCGGCUAACUCCGUGCCAGCAGCCGCGGUAAUACGGAGGAUCCGAGCGUUAUCCGGAUUUAUUGGGUUUAAAGGGAGCGUAGGUGGAUUGUUAAGUCAGUUGUGAAAGUUUGCGGCUCAACCGUAAAAUUGCAGUUGAAACUGGCAGUCUUGAGUACAGUAGAGGUGGGCGGAAUUCGUGGUGUAGCGGUGAAAUGCUUAGAUAUCACGAAGAACUCCGAUUGCGAAGGCAGCUCACUAGACUGUCACUGACACUGAUGCUCGAAAGUGUGGGUAUCAAACAGGAUUAGAUACCCUGGUAGUCCACACAGUAAACGAUGAAUACUCGCUGUUUGCGAUAUACAGUAAGCGGCCAAGCGAAAGCAUUAAGUAUUCCACCUGGGGAGUACGCCGGCAACGGUGAAACUCAAAGGAAUUGACGGGGCCCGCACAAGCGGAGGAACAUGUGGUUUAAUUCGAUGAUACGCGAGGAACCUUACCCGGGCUUAAAUUGCAACAGAAUAUAUUGGAAACAGUAUAGCCGUAAGGCUGUUGUGAAGGUGCUGCAUGGUUGUCGUCAGCUCGUGCCGUGAGGUGUCGGCUUAAGUGCCAUAACGAGCGCAACCCUUAUCUUUAGUUACUAACAGGUCAUGCUGAGGACUCUAGAGAGACUGCCGUCGUAAGAUGUGAGGAAGGUGGGGAUGACGUCAAAUCAGCACGGCCCUUACGUCCGGGGCUACACACGUGUUACAAUGGGGGGUACAGAAGGCGGCUACCUGGUGACAGGAUGCUAAUCCCAAAAACCUCUCUCAGUUCGGAUCGAAGUCUACAACCCGACUUCGUGAAGCUGGAUUCGCUAGUAAUCGCGCAUCAGCCAUGGCGCGGUGAAUACGUUCCCGGGCCUUGUACACACCGCCCGUCAAGCCAUGAAAGCCGGGGGUACCUGAAGUACGUAACCGCAAGGAGCGUCCUAGGGUAAAACUGGUAAUUGGG
Molecule: ribosomal RNA, 1432 nt
Filed under: uncultured organism
Description: 16S ribosomal RNA
Rfam family: Bacterial small subunit ribosomal RNA
Source: RNAcentral